UAGAGUUUGAUCCUGGCUCAGAUUGAACGCUGGCGGAAUGCUUUACACAUGCAAGUCGAGCGGCAGCGCGGGGCAACCUGGCGGCGAGCGGCGAACGGGUGAGUAAUACAUCGGAACGUACCCAGUUGUGGGGGAUAGCCCGGCGAAAGCCGGAUUAAUACCGCAUACGGCCUGAGGGUGAAAGCGGGGGAUCGCAAGACCUCGCGCAGUUGGAGCGGCCGAUGGCGGAUUAGCUAGUUGGUGAGGUAAUGGCUCACCAAGGCGACGAUCCGUAGCUGGUCUGAGAGGACGACUAGCCACACUGGAACUGAGACACGGUCCAGACUCCUACGGGAGGCAGCAGUGGGGAAUUUUGGACAAUGGGGGAAACCCUGAUCCAGCCAUUCCGCGUGAGUGAAGAAGGCCUUCGGGUUAUAAAGCUCUUUCGGCAGGAACGAAACGGUCUUUUCUAAUACAAGAGGCUAAUGACGGUACCUGAAGAAGAAGCACCGGCUAACUACGUGCCAGCAGCCGCGGUAAUACGUAGGGUGCGAGCGUUAAUCGGAAUUACUGGGCGUAAAGCGUGCGCAGGCGGCUAUGUAAGACAGAUGUGAAGUCCCCGGGAUUAACCUGGGAACUGCGUUUGUGACUGCAUAACUUGAGUGUGGCAGAGGGGGGUGGAAUUCCACGUGUAGCAGUGAAAUGCGUAGAGAUGUGGAGGAACACCGAUGGCGAAGGCAGCCCCCUGGGUCAACACUGACGCUCAUGCACGAAAGCGUGGGGAGCAAACAGGAUUAGAUACCCUGGUAGU
RNAcentral lists this ribosomal RNA (790 nucleotides) under uncultured Rhodocyclaceae bacterium. Its description in RNAcentral is "bacterial SSU rRNA". It matches the Rfam family "Bacterial small subunit ribosomal RNA", at positions 1 to 794 of the family's 1533-position model. Lineage: Bacteria; Pseudomonadati; Pseudomonadota; Betaproteobacteria; Rhodocyclales; Rhodocyclaceae. The record is from RNAcentral.